Molecule: ribosomal RNA, 411 nt
Filed under: uncultured bacterium
Lineage: Bacteria
Description: bacterial SSU rRNA
Rfam family: Bacterial small subunit ribosomal RNA
Source: RNAcentral
UCGAGGAUCUUCGGCAAUGGGCGCAAGCCUGACCGAGCGACGCCGCGUGCGCGAUGAAGGCCUUCGGGUUGUAAAGCGCUGUCGAGGGGAAGAAAGCCGCAAGGUUGAUCGACCCCUGGAGGAAGGACGGGCUAAGUUCGUGCCAGCAGCCGCGGUAAGACGAACCGUCCUAACGUUAUUCGGAUUCACUGGGCUUAAAGGGCGCGUAGGCGGUUUACCAAGUCCGGGGUGAAAUCUUUCGGCUCAACCGGAAAAGUGCCUCGGAUACUGGUGAACUUGAGGGAGGUAGGGGCAUGUGGAACUUCCGGUGGAGCGGUGAAAUGCGUUGAUAUCGGAAGGAACGCCGGUGGCGAAAGCGACGUGCUGGCCCUCUUCUGACGCUGAGGCGCGAAAGCUAGGGGAGCAAACGGG